Molecule: ribosomal RNA, 484 nt
Filed under: uncultured bacterium
Lineage: Bacteria
Description: partial 16S ribosomal RNA
Rfam family: Bacterial small subunit ribosomal RNA
Source: RNAcentral
GUUGAACGCUGGCGGCAGGCCUAACACAUGCAAGUCGAGCGGAUGAAGGGAGCUUGCGCCUGGAUUCAGCGGCGGACGGGUGAGUAAUGCAUAGGAAUCUGCCUGGUAGUGGGGGAUAACGUCCGGAAACGGGCGCUAAUACCGCAUACGUCCAGAGGGAGAAAGUGGGGGAUCUUCGGACAUCACGCUAUCAGAUGAGCCUAGGUCGGAUUAGCUAGUUGGUGGGGUAAGGGCCUACCAAGGCGACGAUCCGUAACUGGUCUGAGAGGAUGAUCAGUCACACUGGAACUGAGACACGGUCCAGACUCCUACGGGAGGCAGCAGUGGGGAAUAUUGGACAAUGGGCGAAAGCCUGAUCCAGCCAUGCCGCGUGUGUGAAGAAGGUCUUCGGAUUGUAAAGCACUUUAAGUUGGGAGGAAGGGCAGUAAGUUAAUACCUUGCUGUUUUGACGUUACCAACAGAAUAAGCACCGGCUAACUUCGUG